RNAcentral lists this transfer RNA (72 nucleotides) under Methanoregulaceae archaeon. Its description in RNAcentral is "tRNA-Ala". It matches the Rfam family "tRNA". From Rfam's summary of the family: Transfer RNA (tRNA) molecules are approximately 80 nucleotides in length. Their secondary structure includes four short double-helical elements and three loops (D, anti-codon, and T loops). RNAcentral also lists the same sequence under 1 other name. The record is from RNAcentral. Lineage: Archaea; Methanobacteriati; Methanobacteriota; Methanomicrobia; Methanomicrobiales; Methanoregulaceae.
GGGCUGGUGGUAAAGUGGUAUUACGCACCCUUGGCAUGGGUGAGGCCGCGGGUUCAAUUCCCGCCCAGUCCA